GACGAACCGAGCGAACGUUAUUCGGAAUCACUGGGCUUAAAGGGCGCGUAGGCGGGCCGGCUAGUCAGGGGUGAAAGCCCCCAGCUCAACUGGGGAAGUGCCUCUGAUACUGCCGGCCUCGAGGGAGGUAGGGGCGUGCGGAACUUCCGGUGGAGCGGUGAAAUGCGUAGAUAUCGGAAGGAACACCGGUGGCGAAAGCGGCGCGCUGGACCUCUUCUGACGCUGAGGCGCGAAAGCCAGGGGAGCGAACGGG
RNAcentral lists this ribosomal RNA (253 nucleotides) under uncultured bacterium. Its description in RNAcentral is "partial 16S ribosomal RNA". It matches the Rfam family "Bacterial small subunit ribosomal RNA", at positions 524 to 776 of the family's 1533-position model. The record is from RNAcentral.